CCCUUAGAUGUUCUGGGCCGCACGCGUGCUACACUGACCGGCGCAACAAGUUUCUUUCCUUGGCUCGAUAGGCCUGGGUAAUCUUUGAACGUCGGUCGUGAUGGGGAUAGAUCCUUGCAAUUUUUGAUCUUCAACGAGGAAUUCCUAGUAAAUGCGAGUCAUCAUCUCGCGUUGAUUACGUCCCUGCCCUUUGUACACACCGCCCGUCGCACCUACCGAUUGAAUGGUCCGGUGAAAUCUCGGGACGGCGGCUUGGUCGCUUGCGUCCGACUGCUGAAACUUGAUUAAGCCAUAUCAUUUAGAGGAAGGUGAAGUCGUAACA
This 322-nucleotide ribosomal RNA is filed under the name uncultured eukaryote. RNAcentral's name for it is "partial 18S ribosomal RNA". It matches the Rfam family "Eukaryotic small subunit ribosomal RNA", at positions 1470 to 1796 of the family's 1831-position model. The record is from RNAcentral.